This 2712-nucleotide long non-coding RNA is filed under the name Bemisia tabaci. RNAcentral describes it as "lncRNA ENSASIAIIG008507". Lineage: Eukaryota; Metazoa; Arthropoda; Insecta; Hemiptera; Aleyrodidae. The record is from RNAcentral.
AAAGUAAUUUAUUUGUGCUCAGGAUUCAAGAGCGUGACAAACAGGGUUGCACCCUAGUCAUCAGUAGAUGAAGGAUGAUCCCCUAGUGGUCGCCUUAGUUAUGCAUUACCUGGGAGGUUGCCUCUACAAAUACACUGCUUUUUCAUUUUGUAAAUUUCUUUUCGUUUUUAGGGCCGGAAGAAAAUGGUCCUUUCCAUGCAAGAGGCGCUUUUGGAAUUUAGUGAGAAAGAUGAUGAGAGACAUGAAGAGAUCUUAAGGAUGUUGACGUUGUUCAGCACUGCAUCAAAGAAAGCUCGUCUUGCACAGAGGGAAUUGUCCAAUGCAAUCACUGAGGAUAUCAAGGCAUGUGAACCAAACUUUGCCGAAGUCAUGAGUGUCUUGAACAAGGUUGAAGACAAUCUGAAGCAUCAGCAAGACUCAACCGUGGAAAAGUUGCAAUCUUGGAAGAACUCGGAAAGUGAGCGGUUGACUGCUAUUAUCGGGAGUGUUGAAAACCUAUCAUCAGUUUCGAAAGAAUCUCAGAAAAGUUUUGACUCCUGGAGUGCUGGUUUUAAUGAAGGCUUGAUCGAAAGCGAUACCAAGGAAGAACAACGUGAAAAAGAGCAAGAAGAGGUAAGAAAUUUUUCUAGAUUCAGAUGAUACCUCUAUCGUAUGUCUAUCAUUUAUAUCUCCAUUAGACUUUUUCCAUCUGCAAACUCUGGCUAAGACUACUAAGAUCUUCUGAGUUUCCUCCUUGUCGCCGCAGGAUGUCUUCUUAGGAUUUGUGGCAGUGAAAAGUUGCACAUUCGUGCAUUAUUAUAGAACUCCUUUUCAUAAGAAGGAAAUUAAGUUCCUCACACUUAGCUGACAGAGCAUCACUGUCAUGUAGCCGUGUCUGUUGAAAAUAUCGGAAUCGGAUGUGUCGUUUUUCAGGUGAAAAUAAGAAUUGGUUUCUCCUCUCAAGACUUCAGUCCCUAUAAAAUUUUAUUGGAGAAUGAAGAGUCUCAGAUAAAGAAACUAGAAAAUUAACUCAGACUCACAACAUUCUUAAAGGAUAAUUUCAUAAUGAUUACCUUUUUCCUUUUCUUUCUCAUCUGUUAAAAUAAAGCGAUACUUGAUGUUCUCCGUUUUUCAUGAUUCCAGGGCAUUCUUGAAGAAGUAAGCAACCAGAUAUCACAGUCUGAAAUAGUUCUAAAUGACUAUGCGGAAUGCCAUCUAACAUCCAUCUCUGAAAUGGGCAAUAUCAUGCAAGAUCACCUUGCAAAUGCUGAAAAAUUACGUAAAGAACUAGAAGAAAACAUGCAUGCUCAAAACAACGUCCUCGAGAAAUUUGUUCAGGAGGACUUCAAGAAGGAUGUCCCCACAGGUAUCUAUAAAAAUUAUGUUGAAGUGACGUGAUGUUGUAGUGGAUCUAAACAGGGUAUAAUUAGCUACAAAACAAAACUUUACCAGAAGAAUUCUAAUCAGAAAAUAACUCUUUCUCUUAAAAUAUUUUUCUCUUGAAAGAACAUGUACACGACUGUCUAUGGGAAGUCAGUAGGUCACACAGUCUUGAAGAUUCUUGCACAUAUAUAUCCUUGAAUUUUCCCCCCUUAAGUUUCAAGUCCUUGGAAAUGUGUUCAUGGCUCGUGUGAAAAGUCAUGAAAGCAUUUGGAAGUGUUUGACGUUGGAAAUUAAGGGUCUAAUAUUAGAGGAAUGAAAUUUUUCAGAAAAUUUUUCGAACCUAGGGACUUCAUCAGAUAAAAGUUUUUCUGCAGAUAAGUUUUGAGUAUGUUGUGGUUGCAUUGACUUAUCACACGGAUUUUUGGAGAUAAAUUUAUUUUGCAGUAGAAUAGAAUAACUUCAAAAAACGCUGUAAUGACCACAAAAGAGUCCAUGAAGUUCUUGCAUUUUCAGUCCAUAGUUCUCGAAAAACUUCGGAAAAGUCUCUAACAAGCCUUUAGAAGUUCUAGAAUUUUGUUUCAUUCUAUACACCUAAUCUGUGGUUCAUAUUUUUUUAACUAUAUAACGUUUAGUUAGGACAGGUUAGUUCUGAUUUGGGCAUGAUACUGUAACACCAUUGAUUGUCCUUACGGCUGUGUACCAUUACUGUUGUUUUCAUUUUGUGCUGAUGAAUACGCAGUGCUAUUAAGACACAAUUGCUCCUCUCAUAGCAUCCAUACAGCUGUAAUUAAAAUCAUAAAUCAUUUGCAAAUUUUCGCAGAGCUCUUAUCACCGAAGGUGGCAGUUGUUUAUUUUUGACUCCCAUGUCUAGUAGACUGUUUUAUUAAACAGCGUGUAGAAGCAUCAUGGGCUCUUGGUUAGUCCUCUAUUGCAAUGGGACAGCAGCAGUAAAGCAGCUUGCUAAGAGAAAGUUAAAGAUUGCCAAGUUAUCUGACACUAAUUGUGGUCAUAAUGCCUUUUUUAAAUGUAUGCUAUUUAUUUAUUUUUACUCAAUGGAGGUAAUAUUUGUAGUAUUUUUGAGGACUUCCAAAUGUUUUUGUAUUUUACCUUGCAUAGUUUUACAUGACAGAGCAUUCAUCCUUUUUUUCUUCGCCAGGCUCUACUCCGCAGAAACGUGAAUUUGACUAUCCACAGGACCUCACGGCCACCUCUCCACAUGAAAUAAUUCUCGCCAGAUUCCGAGAGACGGUCAAUCAUGAACUUUCUUUCAAUGAUUCUUUAGCAGAGUCAAUCCAUUCUGAGGCCUCACAGGUACGUUGAAUGCUAAGUAACUUUUAAAACAUUUGUAGC